CAAAAAACCUAUAUAUUAGCAUUCAUUCUAGAGCUGUUCAGCACUUCUCACUGAAAGGCUGAAGCUACUGAGAUAAACAUAAACAUCACUAUGAAGCUACUGGUUGUGUCUGCACUUUUUGCAAUGAUGGCUCUGAUCACUGCUGCUGAAAAAGGAGGCAAAAGUGUGUCAGCGGAUAAUCCACCUGAGGAGCAUCUUGUUGAAAAGAGAUGGUACAAGUAUCGGGGCUGGACUAGGUAUGGCAACCGAUACUUCCGCUAUUUUCCCUAUCGCUUGGAUUGGCUCAUGCUCAGAGAUACUGUCAGUCCAUGCAUGCAAACCUGGCAUCUGUACGUAGCCUUCGAGAGUACCGGGUGAUUCAAAGGGUUAUAUAUCGUGCUACUCACCGUUACCCACUUACAUGGCUUGGAGGCUCUGAUGCUCAAAAGGAGCAUCAUUGGUUUUGGAUCGAUGGAACUCCGUUCAGAUUUACAUACUGGUGUCGUGGAGAGCCUAACAAUGCUCGCCACAACGAGCACUGCCUACACAUGAACAAUACAGGAUACAGGUGUAUGAAUGAUAUAUACUGUCACUACCGAUACCCAUUUGUCUGCGUCUGGAAAAGAAGAUGAUUCCUGGUCUACCAUGAAAUGUUUGGUUCAUCAGACAAAGAAGCAAAUAAUCUCAUACAACCCCCUGAACCGUUUUCCAUUUUACAUUUAUAAUUCUUUUCUUUUGCUGUAAUGCUACAUAAUGAAUAAAGCAAGUUGGACUGUUUCUUUUAAUAGCAAUGGCUAUUAAUUGCAAACUGAAGGUGUAAUGGAAAGAAUGCUUUUAGCAAAAGUUAAUUUCCCAUAAUUAACUUUUCUUAUUAUCUUCAUCAAUAAACUCUUCAGCAUUAAAUCUGA
Long non-coding RNA from Oreochromis niloticus (Nile tilapia), 887 nucleotides. RefSeq lists it as uncharacterized. NCBI's taxonomy places the organism in Eukaryota, Metazoa, Chordata, Actinopteri, Cichliformes, Cichlidae. The transcript has 7 exons. The record is from RefSeq and is a predicted model, not a curated record.